This 205-nucleotide unclassified non-coding RNA is filed under the name Hevea brasiliensis (rubber tree). The record is from RNAcentral. Lineage: Eukaryota; Viridiplantae; Streptophyta; Magnoliopsida; Malpighiales; Euphorbiaceae.
GGACAUCUUUCAAGCUGUUGGGCUUAAUCUCUAUUUGUUUCCAUAUGGAGUUCUCCCGACUGGCCCUGGCAGAGGCAUAAUUGAGGUCGUUCCUAAUACACGAAGCAGAAGUCAGAUGGGUGAAACCACUGAUGGGGGAUUGUAUGAGAUCUUUCAACAGGACUAUGGGCCGGUAGGCUCUCCUAAUUUUGAAGCAGCCCGUGAG